Molecule: transfer RNA, 72 nt
Filed under: Bacteroidota bacterium
Lineage: Bacteria; Pseudomonadati; Bacteroidota
Also listed under: 5 other names
Description: tRNA-Glu
Rfam family: tRNA
About the family: Transfer RNA (tRNA) molecules are approximately 80 nucleotides in length. Their secondary structure includes four short double-helical elements and three loops (D, anti-codon, and T loops).
Source: RNAcentral
GGCCUCAUCGUCUAAUGGUCAGGACCUCGCCCUUUCACGGCGGUAAUAGGGGUUCGAAUCCCCUUGAGGUCA